RNAcentral lists this long non-coding RNA (3222 nucleotides) under Callithrix jacchus (white-tufted-ear marmoset). Its description in RNAcentral is "lncRNA (ENSCJAG00000075724.1)". The record is from RNAcentral. Lineage: Eukaryota; Metazoa; Chordata; Mammalia; Primates; Cebidae.
AUGCCCAUUUUAAUUGUCUAUGUUCCUCUAUCCAGAGACGUGGUAGUACAGAUGCGUAGUUCUUAUCUGUUGACAUUUGCUUUAAACAUAUCCAGCUUAACAAUAUGGUUUAUUGUGCUCUUUCUUCCCAGUUUUACACACAUUAUAAUGCAUCACAUCUGGAGUGACAUGGGGAGAGAAAACUAUGUGAGCUCAUCAGCUACUGACUGUCUUGACCUCAAACAUUUUCCGUUGCUACCUACUUUCCUCGAGAGUGGAUCUAUUCAGAAAAACCAAGGCUGGCUGGAUGGAGGAUUAGAGGCUGCUUCCUCUUUCAUGCCACUAAGGUGACAGAAUUGUGUGGAGGUUAAGAGCAUGGAUUUUGGAUUCAGCCAGGUGUGAAUUUACAGGUCCGUUCUACUCCUUUCUGGCUGGUUGUUACUGAUGCUUCAAGAUGUUCACAGGUAAAUAAAUGGGACUGUCAGUCUUAAAUGAGAUGACCGGGAGCAAUGAUUAGCAAAGCACCUUGUACAUAGUAAUCAUUUCCUAAUGAGUAGUAGCAGUGGUGGUAGUGGUGCUGGUGGUUUUAGUACUAGCAGCAGUUUGGAAAGUCCAAAUGAAAAAGUUGCAACUAUCUCUCAGUUGGCACUAGAAUAAAUCAGGAAUCUGGGCUGCAAGGUUGGCUUCCGAUUUUCUCAGUCUUUCUUCACUUAUACCCAUUUCUCUCAUAUAUCUCCUAUAUGUUUAAUGUAUGAUAGUAAAUAAUAAUCAAAUAUAGAAUAUUAUGUACUAUUGAGGUUCAGAAACUGAUAUUCCAAAAUAUGCCAUUUGGAAUUAAACUGGGAGCUGCAAAUGCAGGGAAGAACUUUCUCUACAGUUCUCUUUUCUGCCUAAAUGCUAGGUCUCCCAGGAGACGCUCAAUGAUUGUGAAUUGCUUCCCAAGGUAUCUCAGCAAUGCAAGGAAGUUGAACACAUUGCGGAAGGCAGACUAGAAGAGACGCCACACCUCAGAGCCAGAGAAACUCGGUCCCAGGGCACAUUGUCACCUUCUCUAAAACUCAUCUACUCUUCCUCUAAAAUUGCCUAUACCCUCAACAUCCCUAUUCCUUGUGAAGAGAAUAUUUAAGCUUCAACCAUCUGGCCCUUCUUUGAGUCUCAUACUUUGUGUGAUUCCCCUGUGCUUGCCUUUUACCAAAUUUGCAUGCAUUUUCUCCUGUUGAUCUGUCUAUUGUCAGUUUGUUUGAUAUAUUCAAAUGUUUAAACCCUCAGGGGGUGGAAGAGAAGUUUCUUUAACCCCAUACAUAUGUGUGUGUGUGUAUAUAUAUAUGGACUAUACACACAUACAUACACAUAUACACAUAUAUAUAUAUACACACAUAUACAUGUACAUACACAUAUGUGCAUAUAAUGCAUGUGUGUAUAUAUAUAUAUAUGUAUAAAUAUAUAUAUAUAGAGAGAGAGACUUUCUCCUAAAUUUCUAUUUGUCUUAUGUUGCCAUGUAACUCUUAAUCUAGUUUGCCUUAUCUUUGACUCAUUUAUAAGUUCUUAGAGAACAGGCAUUGAAAUCAUCUCAAUCGGCUGCAGAACUUUAUAGUUCUACUUGCUACCUUAUGUACUUGAACAGCUAAUAAAGAUACAUUCAAGUUUAUGUUAUGCUUUAAGAUCACGCAUGUGAACACAGAGCAGAUCAUUAGUAAUGGUUAAAUAGUAAAACCUUAAAAAACGAAGAGCUGCCAUUUAAUGAUUUUUGGCAUCAUUUUCUUCCUAUCUUUCUAGUGGCCAUUUCUCCUUCCUCCUGACCCUCUCCUUUAUUUCAAGGACCAGCACACCCAGACUUCGUUUUACUUAUGUGUGUGAGGUAUUUUUAGCUUUCAGGAAAAUGUUGUCUUAUUUGGAACCCAUAGUGGAAAAGAGACAUAAGAAAAACCAGCAUUCAGAAAUUAAAUCAUGUCAGCUAUCAAGUAGCAGAGUAGCAAUUAAACUCUCUAAUAAGUGAAAACUAUUUCACUCUUUAUGCAUUAUUUUCUCUUAGCUAUUUUUUUAAAACAUGAAUGAUUCACAUUGAAGAUUUCAUCUAUGUUUUGAAAACUACUAGAUGUCUUUGAUUAAUGAGGUGAUCUGUUUGUAUUUUCUCCAUCCUCAGAAACAGUGAAUCAGGUAGCGGCCUGGAGUUCCAUCCAUGGCUGUGCCACUGGUUUCUGACGGAGAGAUGCCAAAGACCAGAUGUAACAAAGCCAGCAUUCAGUCACACCAACAGAGCACAGUGACAAACCUUGCCAUGACACUGAAAUUGUAGCUGUAAUUUCUUGAAAUUCAAUUUUUUCAUAUGUAGGAGAGGUCCUAUAGCAGGGGGAACUGAUUUCACAAUUCAGAGUAAAAAUAAAUGAAAAUCAAAAAAACAAGCAGCAAACUGAAAAAUAAAAGCAAAAGCAAGAAACGGUCUCUUUAGAUCUUACCUUUACAUUUCUAAACGAUGAUUACUGAAUAAACUGCUUUUGCCUGCUGUAUCAAGUGCCAGGAAAAACACUUCUAAAACCCUAACACAAUACACACCAUUCAAAAUUAUAUAACACAGAGAAACACAGAAAUUACCUAGUAGUUUUCUAUUUUAAAUUAGCCCUCUAUCCAGUCUCUACUGAGAAAUAUAUUAUCUUGGGUAAAAAUAAGAUCGACUAUAUUCAAAUAAAUAUCUAAAUUCAAAAUAAAUAUCUUUGAUUGCAUUAACAGAUAGACCUAUAUUAUUUAAUGUUCCCCAUUAAAUAAAACAUUUAGAUUUUUAGUAUUUGACACAAAUAUAGAUGUUUAGUCUUAAUUCUGCUUUUUCAUCUUUGAACAAGAAUGUGUUUCUUUGUUACUACAUAGGCUCCACAAGCAUCAAUGGCUGAUUACUGAUAAAGACUAUCCAAUAAAUAUGCAAAAAUUUACCUGACAAUUCCCUCCCAUUGGUUGUAUGUUUCCAAAUAUUCUGUAAACAUACUAAGCAGCUGUCCUUCCCAAUGUGUCUAUCAUGCCACUGUGAUUAUGGAAAAACAUUGAAAAACAACGUAUUUGUAUAUCUCCUUUAUAAGAAUAUGUUUUUAAUGCAAGUCCAUUUAUUUCUGAAUUAAAAACAAACAACAGAAAUCUACAUAUUCUCAGUGUUACAUGUAUGAUGUCUCUUUUAGAUUUACACUAGAGUUACAUAGAUAAGACAUAGACUGAGGGAUUAAAUGUCAAUUUCUACUUUCCAAUAAAGAGUCUUUC